AGAUUGAACGCUAGCGGGAUGCUUUACACAUGCAAGUCGAACGGCAGCGCGGACUUCGGUCUGGCGGCGAGUGGCGAACGGGUGAGUAAUAUAUCGGAACGUGCCCAGUAGCGGGGGAUAACUACGCGAAAGCGUGGCUAAUACCGCAUACGCCCUACGGGGGAAAGGGGGGGAUCGCAAGACCUCUCACUAUUGGAGCGGCCGAUAUCAGAUUAGCUAGUUGGUGAGGUAAGGCUCACCAAGGCGACGAUCUAGUAGCUGGUUUGAGAGGACGACCAGCCACACUGGGACUGAGACACGGCCCAGACUCCGACGGGAGGCGAGCGAGUGGGGUAAUUUGGACUAAGUAGGGGAACCUAGGAUACCGAGCCACUCCCGCGGUGGUCGCCGGAAUGGAACGG
This 401-nucleotide ribosomal RNA is filed under the name uncultured soil bacterium. RNAcentral's name for it is "bacterial SSU rRNA". It matches the Rfam family "Bacterial small subunit ribosomal RNA", at positions 26 to 421 of the family's 1533-position model. The record is from RNAcentral.